ACGUGGUAUCCUGUCUGAAUAUGGGGGGACCAUCCUCCAAGGCUAAAUACUCCUGACUGACCGAUAGUGAACCAGUACCGUGAGGGAAAGGCGAAAAGAACCCCGGCGAGGGGAGUGAAAAAGAACCUGAAACCGUGUACGUACAAGCAGUGGGAGCCCCACCACCAAAGCAUUCUCUGGUGUUGAAGGCCCUGCAAAGCAGCAUCGCGGUGGCGGAGCGUCGUUUGCGACGCCCAACACACAAAACAAGCGGUGAGUGCUUUGGGGUGGGGUGACUGCGUACCUUUUGUAUAAUGGGUCAGCGACUUAUAUUCUGUAGCAAGGUUAACCGAAUAGGGGAGCCGGAGGGAAACCGAGUCUUAAUUGGGCGUUAAGUUGCAGGGUAUAGACCCGAAACCCGGUGAUCUAGCCAUGGGCAGGUUGAAGGUUGGGUAACACUAACUGGAGGACCGAACCGACUAAUGUUGAAAAAUUAGCGGAUGACCUGUGGCUGGGGGUGAAAGGCCAAUCAAACCGGGAGAUAGCUGGUUCUCCCCGAAAGCUAUUUAGGUAGCGCCUCGUGAAUUCAUCUCCGGGGGUAGAGCACUGUUUCGGCUAGGGGGCCAUCCCGGCUUACCAACCCGAUGCAAACUGCGAAUACCGGAGAAUGUUAUCACGGGAGACACACGGCGGGUGCUAACGUCCGUCGUGAAGAGGGAAACAACCCAGACCGCCAGCUAAGGUCCCAAAGUCAUGGUUAAGUGGGAAACGAUGUGGGAAGGCCCAGACAGCCAGGAUGUUGGCUUAGAAGCAGCCAUCAUUUAAAGAAAGCGUAAUAGCUCACUGGUCGAGUCGGCCUGCGCGGAAGAUGUAACGGGGCUAAACCAU
RNAcentral lists this ribosomal RNA (867 nucleotides) under Salmonella enterica subsp. enterica serovar Kentucky. RNAcentral's name for it is "partial 23S ribosomal RNA". It matches the Rfam family "Bacterial large subunit ribosomal RNA", at positions 424 to 1190 of the family's 2925-position model. Lineage: Bacteria; Pseudomonadati; Pseudomonadota; Gammaproteobacteria; Enterobacterales; Enterobacteriaceae. The record is from RNAcentral.